CACUCACUCAACCUGGGUGUGAUGUUUUCUAUUAAAAUCCAUCACAACCUCCUUGAGUGAGCGA
Molecule: microRNA precursor, 64 nt
Filed under: Phlebotomus papatasi
Lineage: Eukaryota; Metazoa; Arthropoda; Insecta; Diptera; Psychodidae
Description: microRNA mir-67
Rfam family: mir-67 microRNA precursor family
Source: RNAcentral